RNAcentral lists this ribosomal RNA (253 nucleotides) under uncultured bacterium. RNAcentral describes it as "partial 16S ribosomal RNA". It matches the Rfam family "Bacterial small subunit ribosomal RNA", at positions 524 to 776 of the family's 1533-position model. The record is from RNAcentral.
UACGAAGGGGGCUAGCAUUGUUCGGAAUCACUGGGCGUAAAGGGCGCGUAGGCGGCUUUAUAAGUCGGGGGUGAAAGCCUGUGGCUCAACCACAGAAUUGCCUUCGAUACUGUAGAGCUUGAGACCGGAAGAGGUAAGUGGAACUGCGAGUGUAGAGGUGAAAUUCGUAGAUAUUCGCAAGAACACCAGUGGCGAAGGCGGCUUACUGGUCCGGUUCUGACGCUGAGGCGCGAAAGCGUGGGGAGCAAACAGG